CUGGCGGCGUGCUAACACAUGCAAGUCGAACGCGAAAGGGACUUCGGUCCUGAGUAAAGUGGCGCACGGGUGAGUAACGCGUGGAUAAUCUGCCCUUAUGAUCGGGAUAACAGUUGGAAACGGCUGCUAAUACCGGAUACGCUCAAAAUGAACUUUUUGAGGAAAGAUGGCCUCUGCUUGCAUGCUAUCACGUAAGGAUGAGUCCGCGUCCCAUUAGCUUGUUGGCGGGGUAACGGCCCACCAAGGCAACGAUGGGUAGCCGAUUUGAGAGGAUGAUCGGCCACACUGGAACUGAAACACGGUCCAGACUCCUACGGGAGGCAGCAGUGGGGAAUAUUGCGCAAUGGGCGAAAGCCUGACGCAGCGACGCCGCGUGAGGGAUGAAAGGUUUUCGGAUCGUAAACCUCUGUCAGAAGGGAAGAAACUACGUUGUGCUAAUCAGCAGCGUACUGACGGUACCUUCAAAGGAAGCACCGGCUAACUCCGUGCCAGCAGCUGC
Molecule: ribosomal RNA, 499 nt
Filed under: uncultured bacterium
Lineage: Bacteria
Description: bacterial SSU rRNA
Rfam family: Bacterial small subunit ribosomal RNA
Source: RNAcentral